GACGAACGCUGGCGGCGUGCUUAACACAUGCAAGUCGAACGAUGAAGCUAGAGCUUGCUCUGGUGAAUUAGUGGCGAACGGGUGAGUAACACGUGGGUAACCUGCCCCGAACUCUGGGAUAACUGCUGGAAACGGUAGCUAAUACUGGAUACGACCUACGAAGGCAUCUUCUGUAGGUGGAAAGAAUUUCGGUUCGGGAUGGACUCGCGGCCUAUCAGCUUGUUGGUGAGGUAAUGGCUCACCAAGGCGACGACGGGUAGCCGGCCUGAGAGGGUGACCGGCCACACUGGAACUGAGACACGGCCCAGACUCCUACGGGAGGCAGCAGUGGGGAAUAUUGCACAAUGGGCGCAAGCCUGAUGCAGCAACGCCGCGUGAGGGAUGACGGCCUUCGGGUUGUAAACCUCUUUUAGUAGGGAAGAAGCGAAAGUGACGGUACCUGCAGAAAAAGCACCGGCUAACUACGUGCCAGCCGCCGCGGUAA
This 484-nucleotide ribosomal RNA is filed under the name uncultured bacterium. Its description in RNAcentral is "partial 16S ribosomal RNA". It matches the Rfam family "Bacterial small subunit ribosomal RNA", at positions 28 to 523 of the family's 1533-position model. The record is from RNAcentral.